Molecule: long non-coding RNA, 624 nt
Filed under: Salvia miltiorrhiza (redroot sage)
Lineage: Eukaryota; Viridiplantae; Streptophyta; Magnoliopsida; Lamiales; Lamiaceae
Description: long non-coding RNA (SMIL_LNC006259)
Source: RNAcentral
GUUGAGAAUAAAAAAGUUAGUCAAAAGAUAAAGUUAGUCAAAAGAUAAUCAAGGAUCCCUUAAUUAUAGGGAUCCUCAUGAUGUUGCAGGAAUAUUCAUGAUGUUGUAGGGAUCCUCAUGAUGUUGUAGGAAUCCUCAUGAUGUUGUAGGGUUCCUCAUGAUGUUGUAGAAUAUCAGCUCCCUUUCUAAACACUAUAAAAGGGGAUGAUUGUAUCAGCAGGAAAUAUCAAGAAAAAGAAAUACAAAAACAAUAUUCAAGAAACAAAUUCUCUCUUCUAUGAUGAUAACAUGUUUUUUAACAUGGUAUCAAAGCAAGGUUAAAUCCUUGAAACUCAGAAAAUUAUCAUCAUAGUUUCCAAAUCCCUUUCUCAAACCUCUUUUUUUUUCGAUCAAACCUGUUCUUAUCUCACGCUGUUUUCCCUGAAAACAAACCACAAAACAAAACAUGUCAGAAGAAACCCAAAUUACCGAUCCAAAAACAACAGCCUCACAAGAAUUAUCACUACAGAUUGCAAAUUUAGUGCAAAACUCAAACACCAUCUCGCUGGGAAUCAAGCUUGAUGGCAAUAACUACGCCCUAUGGGCUCGUCUCAUGAAGGUGGCCAUAGGGAGUAGAGGGAAAUC